This 392-nucleotide ribosomal RNA is filed under the name uncultured bacterium. RNAcentral's name for it is "bacterial SSU rRNA". It matches the Rfam family "Bacterial small subunit ribosomal RNA", at positions 28 to 424 of the family's 1533-position model. The record is from RNAcentral.
GACGAACGCUGGCGGCGUGCUUAACACAUGCAAGUCGAGCGGUAAGGCCCUUUCGGGGGUACACGAGCGGCGAACGGGUGAGUAACACGUGGGUGACCUGCCCUCAGCUCUGGGAUAAGCCUGGGAAACUGGGUCUAAUACUGGAUAUGACUCCACGGUGCAUGUCGUGGGGUGGAAAGCCUUGUGCGGCUGAGGAUGGGCCCGCGGCCUAUCAGCUUGUUGGUGGGGNGAUGGCCUACCAAGGCGACGACGGGUAGCCGGCCUGAGAGGGCGACCGGCCACACUGGGACUGAGACACGGCCCAGACUCCUACGGGAGGCAGCAGUGGGGAAUCUUGCGCAAUGGGCGAAAGCCUGACGCAGCGACGCCGCGUGAGGGAUGACGGCCUGGUU